RNAcentral lists this transfer RNA (71 nucleotides) under Bos taurus (domestic cattle). It matches the Rfam family "tRNA". Rfam says of the family: Transfer RNA (tRNA) molecules are approximately 80 nucleotides in length. Their secondary structure includes four short double-helical elements and three loops (D, anti-codon, and T loops). The record is from Rfam by way of RNAcentral. RNAcentral also lists the same sequence under 2 other names. Lineage: Eukaryota; Metazoa; Chordata; Mammalia; Artiodactyla; Bovidae.
UCCCAGGUGGCUCAGUGGUACAGAAUCUGCCUGUAACGCAGGAGACACAGGUUUGAUCCCUGGGUUGGGAA